Molecule: long non-coding RNA, 5461 nt
Filed under: Sus scrofa (pig)
Lineage: Eukaryota; Metazoa; Chordata; Mammalia; Artiodactyla; Suidae
Description: lncRNA (ENSSSCG00015036852.1)
Source: RNAcentral
GCCAUGAUGGGAACUCCUCUCCUGCCUGUUCUAUGCUUGGUACAUUACAGGUGGUGUUGGAGCUUUACCCAGAGGUACUGGCCCUUCCUGCCUGCCUCCCCUAACUUCCCUUCCUUACUCGGUGACUUGGCAAAUGAUGACAGUGGUAGGACUUAGCUGGGGACAUAAUGAGACUUUCUAGGCAAUCCCUGGGCCCUUGGCUUUAAACCUUGAGCCAAGGCCAAGAGGAGGAUCUCCAGGACCGUUUCUUUGGUCCAUGUAAAAUGGCUGGAAUCUUGCAGGAAGUGAGAAGAGGACAUUUGGUGUGAAAGAGGCAGAAGAGCAGGAGGCAGAAGGAACUAUUCAGGAAAGGGCAGAGGAUGCUGGGCUCAACCGGAAAAAAAUGCAAAUAAGUCAACUCUCCUUAUUUUGCCACAGUUAUGUUCUGAUAAAGUCAAGGGAACUUUAUAGUGAAUUUGGGAAUAGCAAACUCUUUCUCCGGGGAAGAAUACAGGGUUAGAUCCCUGCCAGCCUCUGGUCACAGCAACACUCUUGUCAACCAAUGAAUACAUGACCUUAUUUUAUGAGUAUUUCACCUUAAAGACAUCCUAUUGAACGUAUAUGAUUGGUUCACUAGCAGUAAACCCACAACUCAUGCCUGAACAAAGUUUAUCUAACACAAGUGUCUCAUCUAACACAAGGACUUUCUGUGCGUGGCCCAUCAGGUCUUCUUCCACUGGGCAGCCACUUCAGCACUGCUCUUGAAGACUGUUUUAAAGCCGCAAAAUCACCAAGAAAGAAGACAAAAAUAUGAAAAGUGGCGCUGAGCAGACCAUAAAAAGAUACCGAUGGACAGUAUGAGAGCUGAGAGAAGAAGGCAGAGCAUGGCCUUGUUGGACCUUAGCUGGGAACACGCAUAUCCAGCAACUCAGAAUGUUUACCCUUCAUCAGAGUGCCCUGAAAGUGCUGUAAGUAUUGACUUGGGAGGUUGCAAAUAAAUGUUAGCAAGGUGGCAAAUUCAUGAAUAUGGACUCUGCAAAUAAUGAUGAAAUAACGAGGAUGGUCUGUAUGUGCUUCUUCUCUCAGAAUAUCAGAGAGGAAUAAUGAUGUGAACAUUUCCAGACACUUAGAGGGCACCAGGCACUGUUCCGGGUACUUUGCUUGUGUUAACUCAGUCCUGGCACCAGCCUGUGGGGUAGAUAUAAUUUUUAGUACAUUUUACAAAUGAUGAGAUUUAUAUAGAAAGGUUUAAACACUGCCUGUUCUUAGCAACUAGACUAGACGGCUUCUCAUUUUAUUCACAUUCUAAAACCAGCCCUGGCGUAUCAAGGAGUCUAUGGCCAAAAUCAAGUGAAUAUUCAAAAUGAAAUGGAGAGUUCAAAGAGAUACUAUGCUUAUGCUUGGGACUCAAGAAGGCACUGAGAGGCCCUCUGGGGUGGGAUGGUGGCUGUUGGGAGCAAUUGAGCUGCCCAGCUCUAAGGUCUUCAAGGCUCAACAGGACUUCCUGUUUCAUUUUACCCUGGGGCACUUGGAUUCUUGAGCCAGCCUCUGGAGCGUGCCCUCACUAAGUAGGGAGGCCAGCCUGGAGCGUUUCUCUGCCGUGGGUGCUGUUUAGCAUCAGGCCAGUCCUCUCAAGGAAUCAGCAGUUCGUUGGUCUGUAGUAAAAAGCAGAAGCGAAAACAUCACCACCUGCCUUCCUGGUCUCCCGGCAGGUGGAGCAGUGCUAUGUAUGUGGCUAAGACACUGUGAGUUAGGAGAACAAAGAGCCAUGACAGACUGUCUCCACGGGGAAGGGCAGGCUGGACUUCACAGGUCCUGGCCCCAGAUUCACCAUCUAACUACCCCAGAAGGCGCUCCUCCAUCACUGGGCACGGGUACAGAUGCUGAGCUCUUCCUCAGUCAGGCAUACACUCUCCCCUCCCACCCUCUACUCACUCCCCUGAAGCCUGCCAGGAUGUUUGAACAAGACAUUGCCCAAGGCAUGGAGGUGGGGGAAGAUGGAGUGGGAGGAACAGAAGAGAAUGAACCCCCCCACUCCCAAAAGCUGGAUGGGUUGGAUUAAGCCACUGGGUGUGACUGCCCAACGGGCCUAGCUUGGGGGCAGGGGUGGGGGAGGGUUCAGGCCCCUCCCUGCCAAGCUCCUGGACCACCUCCCCCCUUGAGCACCCCUGCCACCUGGGGACAAGGACAGUACAUUUCUAUUCCGAGAGGUCUAAGAAAUCAAAUUCCAUUUCCUCCCUAAGAUCCACCUUCCUGAGUUCCCAGUUUCCCUUGUCUGUCUCAGCGUUUCCUUUUUUUUUUUUUUUUUUUUUUUUUUUGUAAGCGAACAAAGGCUUUAUUACAGGAAAGCAAAUAGCUCCCAGGACAGCUGGGAGGGGGGAGAAGAGCCCCCUUCUCUAUUGUCUUAUAGGGGUUUUUAUCCCUUAAAGAUGGGGGGUACCAACGUGGGGUCCACGUUCUCCCAUUGGCCUUACCCAGUUACCUUUAUCAGUCCUUGUCCAAUAGGGGUCUUAGGGGUGGAAAUGUCCCAUAAGUCUCAUGGUUUCUUUGCCCUUUUCUUUCCAUAAACUGAGUCACAGGGGCUUAGAGAUCAAUGUCCAUCUGGUGUCGGUACACUCCAAACAAAGGAAACAAACAAAGCCUGUGGGGAUGUUGCUCCCUGGAGCCCUUAAGCCACAAAUGUUAAUCAGUGGCCAUAUCGAAGGAUGCAUCGAAGCCCAUACUCCUACAUGUCUCAGAGUUUCCUAACCCCACUCUCCGCAUUGUCUCCUGACUGCAACCAGACCAGCACACCGAUGCCACAUUUGUAAAAGAGAUAUACAGGGCAUCAGGGAAGUUACCACUGGUGAUGCUGCCACUGGGAGAUGUGUGCAUUUUACCCUAAGAGAGAAGUGACAUUACUUCAGGGCUUUGGCCUCAAUUAGUACUUGAUACAGAAUUACUCUUUCAGGUUGCAGGACCCGUGACAUGGAAUUGGGCAGCACACUAAAGAAGGCAGGGCCAGAGGCUUGGAGAAAAGGGGUUCUGAGAGGCACAACCCAUCCACGGAUGGGACAGUGGACUGAACUAGGCACCAAGGAUAUAGUGGGGGAAUGUUAGGUGAGCAGCCUGAGGGAUGCGCAAUUGCCCAGGAAAGACUUGUGAGAUGCUAAGGGACGCAAGAAAGGGAAGGGCACAGAACAGAGCCAGCCUGGGCCCCAGGGACAGUCUAGCUCCUCUCCUGACCCUUGGGGACCCAAGAGCAGAAGCUACACCAUAGAGCUGCCCUGUCUUAAGGCAGCAGGAUGGGUUGUUGUACCCACGUGCUAGUCGGUCAUUGCUUCCCUGGAGCUGGAUGCUGGUGGAACCUCCUGGGGAGCGUCUCUCCUAAGCCAAAGACAAUGCCCCAGAGAAGGUGUCAGGUAUAAGCCCUUGACUGCCACACCCACAUCACCUGGGAGACAGGUGUACCUGCCAAUACCGAGGGUCUGAACAGGGCACCCGCCCUGACAGCAUCUACCACACACAGCUUCUCAGGUGUCCCCCACCCCACACAGGAAGUGUGCUCAGCUAAUGGUGAUCAUUUCCUGCCUGUCCAGAGUCCUUCUUCAGAACACCAAUUUGCUUUAUAAAUAUGUUCACACGUCUUCUGCCUCAUGAGAAAAAAAAAAAAAUGCCCUUGGAAGGAAGUGUGAUGGGCGUGGUUCUACUUGGUGAGGGGCUCUUUGCUUUGGCACACCGUCUUUCUUGAUUUUUCCUCUCAUCCUGCACCCAGAUCCCAAAGGAGCACCUCGGGGUACCAGAUCCAUGAUUUCAUGACUUCUUAGAGGUGCCAGGUCCUUGAUUUCAAGUCAAGAGACUUAAGAAUUAGGAUUGCUGCAGCACUGGAGGUCAGAGCCAAUCAAAAUCUCUGUCAGGAGGGUGAGGUGGUGUUAGACUCUUUCUAGAACAUUCCAACUCUUGGGAAGCAGGGUAGGAGAGAACUGUAGUCCCCCAAAGUGCUGCAAAGGAAUAGAGUCGGAUUUGGUGAGGCAGCAGACUCUUCAGGGCCCAAACCCAAGGCUGAUUUUCAUCUGGCCUCCAGGGCUAGGAAGGUGCUGGCCUGACUCAGUUUUAUGUGCAUGUCAUAUUCUGAUAAUCCUGCACCUAGACACAUAGGUCCAUGUAGACUCCACCAUGGAACAUGAGCAAAUCCUACAUAUUCUGGGAAGAGGGGAUUGGCCAGUGCCUUUGACCUCAUCUACUCUGCCCUUGACCAGACCCUUAUCUUCUUCCCCUCGGAGGCACAAGGCCAGUGUGGAAAACACUAGAGCUCCGGACAGGAAAUCUGCUACCCGGCCAGGCUUGGCCACAAGGUUGGGGAGUCCAGGCAAGUCGUUUCACCUCUCUGAGCAUCAGUUUUGCCCAUUAUAUUGCAAAAAGUAUAAAAUUAGCCAUUCUAAGAGCUCCUUCCAAUUUCUGGGAUUGUUUUAAUUUUUAUUUAUUUUUUUUGAAGAGAUGUUCCACAUUUUUAUUACAUCACCAUGUUCUACCUAUUUUUCUCUAUCCCUUUUGUUUUUUUCGAAGAUUUUUAUUUUUCUAUUAUAGCUGAUUUACAAUGUUCUGUCAAUUUCUGCUGUACAGCAAAGUAACCUAGUCAUAUGUAUAAAUAUAUAUAUUCUUUUUCUCGCAUCAUCCUCCAUCAUGUGCCAUCAGGAGAUUGUUCUUAUACUUUGCUUGAAUAACAUAACAACACCUUCCUCAUCUAGAAUUUAGCUCUAAAAGUCUCCCCUCGUUUCUCCUCAGCCAGAAAGAAAAAGGCCUCUGAGCAUCCAAGUGACAUCAUAUUAAACAUAUCGCAUAUAAGUCAACACUUAGGUCUCACUCGAGACUAUUGAUUCUUUGUGCAUAGUUCUAACAUGUUUGUUCAUCUAGUUUUCAAGAGUUGAUUAGAGCCUAUCAGUUAGAAAGGGACUCAAUACCUGCAAAGAAAAGGGAUGCUGAUAGCAUGAAGUUGCUACAGAAAAACUGUAAAGGGCACCAAAGAAAUAAAAGACCCCAUAAGUCUGGUUCCAGUUCUGUUCACUUCAGUGGGGCCUGAGGGGAUCACAGCAUAAUUGCACAGGGCUGUGUUCAUGCUCCUGGAUCCAGGUUAUCUGUGAAUGCACUUGUUCACCAGAUUCUGUUUGUGCUUUUAUGGAAGUAUAGGAUACAGUUCAGAAGAAAUACUCCCAGGAGGGUUAAAUGGUAAGAAAAGGAAAAUCAGGAGUUCCCGUCAUGGCUCGGCAGAAACGAAUCCGACUAGGAACCCCGAGGUUGUGGGUUUGGGCCCUGGCCUUGCUCAGUGGGUUAAGGAUCCGCCGUUGCCAUGAGCUGUGGUGUAGGUCGCAGACACGGCUCGGAUCCCAAGUUGCUGUAGCUCUGGUGUAGGCCAGCAGCUGUAGCUCCGAUUAGACCUCUAGCCUGGGAACCUCUGUAGGCCAUGGAAGUGGCCCCAGAAAAUACAAAAAGACAAAAAAAAAAA